This 447-nucleotide ribosomal RNA is filed under the name uncultured bacterium. RNAcentral's name for it is "partial 16S ribosomal RNA". It matches the Rfam family "Bacterial small subunit ribosomal RNA", at positions 29 to 523 of the family's 1533-position model. The record is from RNAcentral.
AACGAACGCUGGCGGCAGGCUUAACACAUGCAAGUCGAACGCCCCGCAAGGGGAGUGGCAGACGGGUGAGUAACGCGUGGGAAUCUACCCAACCCUACGGAACAACUCCGGGAAACUGGAGCUAAUACCGUAUACGCCCUUAGGGGGAAAGAUUUAUCGGGGAUGGAUGAGCCCGCGUUGGAUUAGCUAGUUGGUGGGGUGAAGGCCUACUAAGGCGACGAUCCAUAGCUGGUCUGAGAGGAUGAUCAGCCACAUUGGGACUGAGACACGGCCCAAACUCCUACGGGAGGCAGCAGUGGGGAAUAUUGGACAAUGGGCGCAAGCCUGAUCCAGCCAUGCCGCGUGAGUGAUGAAGGUCUUAGGAUUGUAAAGCUCUUUCACCGGAGAAGAUAAUGACGGUAUCCGGAGAAGAAGCCCCGGCUAACUUCGUGCCAGCAGCCGCCGUAA